Molecule: unclassified non-coding RNA, 202 nt
Filed under: Polyporus arcularius
Lineage: Eukaryota; Fungi; Basidiomycota; Agaricomycetes; Polyporales; Polyporaceae
Description: ITS2
Source: RNAcentral
AUUCUCAACCUAACAAGUUCUUAACGGGACUUGCGUAGGCUUGGACUUGGAGGCUUGUCGGCUCUAGCAGUCGGCUCCUCUCAAAUGCAUUAGCUUGGUUCCUUGCGGAUCGGCUCACGGUGUGAUAAUUAUCUGCGCCGCGACCGUUGAAGCGUUUAAUGGCCAGCUUCUAAUCGUCUCUUGCGAGACAGCUUUCAUCGAA